Molecule: transfer RNA, 114 nt
Filed under: Microcaldota archaeon
Lineage: Archaea; Nanobdellati; Microcaldota
Description: tRNA-Glu
Rfam family: tRNA
About the family: Transfer RNA (tRNA) molecules are approximately 80 nucleotides in length.
Source: RNAcentral
GCUCCUGUAGUCUAGACCGGUCAAGGACAACGGACUCUCACUCCGUAAACUCGGGUUCAAAUGCUUGGCCUGGCAGCCAAACUCGCCAGCAAGCUGUCAAUCCCGGCAGGAGCA